ACUCCUACGGGAGGCAGCAGUGGGGAAUAUUGCACAAUGGGGGAAACCCUGAUGCAGCCAUGCCGCGUGUGUGAAGAAGGCCUUCGGGUUGUAAAGCACUUUCAGUAGGGAGGAAGGUAGUGUAGUUAACAACCUGCGCAUUAUUUGACGUUACCUACAGAAGAAGCACCGGCUAACUCCGUGCCAGCAGCCGCGGUAAUACGGAGGGUGCGAGCGUUAAUCGGAAUUACUGGGCGUAAAAGCGCAUGCAGGCGGCCUGUUAAAGUCAGAUGUGAAAAGCCCGGGCUAAG
This 290-nucleotide ribosomal RNA is filed under the name uncultured bacterium. RNAcentral's name for it is "partial 16S ribosomal RNA". It matches the Rfam family "Bacterial small subunit ribosomal RNA", at positions 335 to 612 of the family's 1533-position model. The record is from RNAcentral.